RNAcentral lists this small nuclear RNA (105 nucleotides) under Zalophus californianus (California sea lion). The record is from RNAcentral. Lineage: Eukaryota; Metazoa; Chordata; Mammalia; Carnivora; Otariidae.
GUGCUUGCUUCAGCAGCACAUGUAGUAAAAUUAGACCAAUAUGGAAGAGAUUAGCAUGGGUCUUGCACAAGGAUGACUCAUAUUUAAGAAGCAUUCUAUAUUUUA